GUCCGUAACUUUAUUUUUAGAUGUGGGUAACUUUUGAUUUAUAAUUUUAAGAAUUAUAAUUUCAACAAUUAGAAGACAACUAACAUCAUAUUUGUAACCUUUGCGGCGGUUUAUACUACUCAUUCACCACCAAAUGUGAUUUUAUUAACGCAUCAUACUUACACCACAGACGUUUUAUGUGGGGUUUGUGGUACUCCAUCCUGGUUAUGGUUUGAACUUUUAUUUACUGAUGUGCGUCUUAUCGACGUUUUUCGCUUGUCAGACCAAGGCUUUUCCAUACUCUUUAAUGUUUUGAGUUUAAUUAUAUGUUUGCGGUUUACCUUCACCUCUGUUUCUUUCUAUAGAUGUGUAUUUUGAUGAAUACUCUUUGACGCGGCUCGGUAUUUAUACAUCCCACCAGUUAGAUAUAGUGUUAUGAUUUUUUGAAUAUGUUUCCUAGUAUGUUUUUUUUUCUCUCUUUGUAUGUUAUCAGGGGUUGUUAGACUAUUAAAUUACCCUGUUGUCCUACGUAGUUAUUUAUAUUUUUAUAUACUAUGUCGAAUUGUUACACUAUGUUGACUGCUCUUUUCCUUUUAUUGUCACUGACUUUUACC
RNAcentral lists this long non-coding RNA (593 nucleotides) under Mytilus galloprovincialis (Mediterranean mussel). The record is from RNAcentral. Lineage: Eukaryota; Metazoa; Mollusca; Bivalvia; Mytilida; Mytilidae.